This 1100-nucleotide ribosomal RNA is filed under the name Microbacterium sp. Its description in RNAcentral is "bacterial SSU rRNA". It matches the Rfam family "Bacterial small subunit ribosomal RNA", at positions 54 to 1165 of the family's 1533-position model. The record is from RNAcentral. Lineage: Bacteria; Bacillati; Actinomycetota; Actinomycetes; Micrococcales; Microbacteriaceae.
CAUGCAGUCGAACGGUGAAGCAGGAGCUUGCUCUUGUGGAUCAGUGGCGAACGGGUGAGUAACACGUGAGCAACCUGCCCCGGACUCUGGGAUAAGCGCUGGAAACGGCGUCUAAUACUGGAUAUGAGACGUGACCGCAKGGUCAACGUUUGGAAAGAUUUUUCGGUCUGGGAUGGGCUCGCGGCCUAUCAGCUUGUUGGUGAGGUAAUGGCUCACCAAGGCGUCGACGGGUAGCCGGCCUGAGAGGGUGACCGGCCACACUGGGACUGAGACACGGCCCAGACUCCUACGGGAGGCAGCAGUGGGGAAUAUUGCACAAUGGGCGAAAGCCUGAUGCAGCAACGCCGCGUGAGGGAUGACGGCCUUCGGGUUGUAAACCUCUUUUAGCAGGGAAGAAGCGAGAGUGACGGUACCUGCARAAAAAGCGCCGGCUAACUACGUGCCAGCAGCCGCGGUAAUACGUAGGGCGCAAGCGUUAUCCGGAAUUAUUGGGCGUAAAGAGCUCGUAGGCGGUCUGUCGCGUCUGCUGUGAAAUCUGGAGGCUCAACCUCCAGCCUGCAGUGGGUACGGGCAGACUAGAGUGCGGUAGGGGAGAUUGGAAUUCCUGGUGUAGCGGUGGAAUGCGCAGAUAUCAGGAGGAACACCGAUGGCGAAGGCAGAUCUCUGGGCCGUAACUGACGCUGAGGAGCGAAAGGGUGGGGAGCAAACAGGCUUAGAUACCCUGGUAGUCCACCCCGUAAACGUUGGGAACUAGUUGUGGGGUCCUUUCCACGGAUUCCGUGACGCAGCUAACGCAUUAAGUUCCCCGCCUGGGGAGUACGGCCGCAAGGCUAAAACUCAAAGGAAUUGACGGGGACCCGCACAAGCGGCGGAGCAUGCGGAUUAAUUCGAUGCAACGCGAAGAACCUUACCAAGGCUUGACAUACACGAGAACGGGCCAGAAAUGGUCAACUCUUUGGACACUCGUGAACAGGUGGUGCAUGGUUGUCGUCAGCUCGUGUCGUGAGAUGUUGGGUUAAGUCCCGCAACGAGCGCAACCCUCGUUCUAUGUUGCCAGCACGUAAUGGUGGGAACUCAUGGGAUACUGCCGGGGUCACUCG